UUUAGCUAAACACUCCUUCAGGGCAAGGCUUUUCCUGGCAGGUAAUGUCCAACUGGAGGAGCCCAAGGCCUGAGACAAAACCGCAUUUUGCUAUUAUGAAAUUUUACAAUAUCUAAAAUUGUAAAGAAAUGCUCAAGUAAUUACCCUUUUAUGUGUUGGAAAAAUGAGUUGUUGAGCUAUUCUUUGCCUCUAGAGGUCCCUUCCAGGCUGGGUUUUUAUAGCACUCCAGAAAGUGGAAUCCCUUUUACAACUGACUUCUAGGAAGCUGGAAGACAGGUAUGGUGGCCAACUGGAAAUUUCUCCAGUUCCCCUAUUCUACUGGGUCAAGUGAGAAAACAAUAGUACCCAGUGAUCUGAAACAUUCAUGGACCUUUCUGAAAAGUUGGAGAGAGGGAGAUGGUGGUACAAAUUUCACUUGAAAAGAGUCAUGAAGCUGAAAAGGGUUUCACUUCAUAUUCAAGACUUCAUGUUUCAGUGGAAAUAAUGGUGUAUUUUUAUCUGUUGGCAGAAAACG
Non-coding RNA from Phascolarctos cinereus (koala), 514 nucleotides. NCBI's taxonomy places the organism in Eukaryota, Metazoa, Chordata, Mammalia, Diprotodontia, Phascolarctidae. The record is from RefSeq and is a predicted model, not a curated record.